RNAcentral lists this ribosomal RNA (507 nucleotides) under uncultured fungus. RNAcentral describes it as "SSU rRNA". It matches the Rfam family "Eukaryotic small subunit ribosomal RNA", at positions 569 to 1078 of the family's 1831-position model. Lineage: Eukaryota; Fungi. The record is from RNAcentral.
AGCAGCCGCGGUAAUUCCAGCUCCAAUAGCGUAUAUUAAAGUUGUUGCAGUUAAAAAGCUCGUAGUUGAGUUUCGGGAUUAGUACGUUGGUCGUGCCUUCGGUACGUACUGGUGUUACUGAUUCCUACCUUCUGACGAACCAUCAUGUCAUUAAUUUGGUGUGGCGGGGAAUCAGGACUGUUACUUUGAAAAAAUUAGAGUGUUUAAAGCAGGCUCGCGCUUGAAUACAUUAGCAUGGAAUAAUGAAAUAGGACGUUGACCCUAUUUUGUUGGUUUCUAGGAUUGACGUAAUGAUUAAUAGGGAUAGUUGGGGGCAUUAGUAUUCAAUUGUCAGAGGUGAAAUUCUUGGAUUUAUUGAAGACUAACUACUGCGAAAGCAUUUGCCAAGGAUGUUUUCAUUAAUCAAGAACGAAAGUUAGGGGAUCGAAGACGAUCAGAUACCGUCGUAGUCUUAACCAUAAACUAUGCCAACUAGGGAUCGGAUGAUGUUAAUUUUUAAAUGACUCA